RNAcentral lists this ribosomal RNA (651 nucleotides) under uncultured marine haptophyte. RNAcentral's name for it is "bacterial SSU rRNA". It matches the Rfam family "Bacterial small subunit ribosomal RNA", at positions 536 to 1194 of the family's 1533-position model. Lineage: Eukaryota; Haptophyta. The record is from RNAcentral.
AAGCGUUAUCCGGAAUCAUUGGGCGUAAAGCGCCUGUAGGUUGUUUAAUAAGUCCGUUGUUAAAGACUAGGGCUUAACCCUAGGAAAGCGAUGGAAACUGAUAGACUUGAGUAUGGCAGGGGUAGAGGGAAUUUCUAGUGUAGCGGUGAAAUGCGUAGAUAUUAGAAAGAACACCGGUGGCGAAAGCGCUCUACUGGACCAUUACUGACACUGAGAGGCGAAAGCUAGGGGAGCGAAAGGGAUUAGAUACCCCUGUAGUCCUAGCCGUAAACGAUGGAUACUAGAUGUUGUGCAAUUUGGACAGUAUCGUAGCUAACGCGUUAAGUAUCCCGCCUGGGGAGUACGCUCGCAAGGGUGAAACUCAAAGGAAUUGACGGGGGCCCGCACAAGCGGUGGAGCAUGUGGUUUAAUUCGAUGCAACGCGAAGAACCUUACCAGGGCUUGACAUACUACAGAUCUUUUUGAGGAAGAAGAGUGCCUUCGGGAAUGUAGAUACAGGUGGUGCAUGGCUGUCGUCAGCUCGUGUCGUGAGAUGUUGGGUUAAGUCCCGCAACGAGCGCAACCCUCGUUUUUAGUUGCCAAUUUAUUGGGAUCUCUAGAAAGACUGCCCGGUGACAAACCGGAGGAAGGUGAGGAUGACGUCAAGUCAGC